UAACGUUCUGAGGAAAUAGUGUAUUCUGCU
RNAcentral lists this non-coding RNA (30 nucleotides) under Mus musculus (house mouse). Lineage: Eukaryota; Metazoa; Chordata; Mammalia; Rodentia; Muridae. The record is from RNAcentral.